Molecule: ribosomal RNA, 89 nt
Filed under: Microcystis aeruginosa
Lineage: Bacteria; Bacillati; Cyanobacteriota; Cyanophyceae; Chroococcales; Microcystaceae
Description: partial 16S ribosomal RNA
Rfam family: Bacterial small subunit ribosomal RNA
Source: RNAcentral
GGAGGGGGAUGCCUAAGGCAGGGCUAGUGACUGGGGUGAAUUCGUAACAAGGUAGCCGUACCGGAAGGUGUGGCUGGAUCACCUCCUUA